Molecule: long non-coding RNA, 251 nt
Filed under: Nothoprocta perdicaria
Lineage: Eukaryota; Metazoa; Chordata; Aves; Tinamiformes; Tinamidae
Description: Prostate androgen-regulated transcript 1 conserved region 2 (ENSNPEG00000000152.1)
Rfam family: Prostate androgen-regulated transcript 1 conserved region 2
Source: RNAcentral
ACGCAUGCUGUGCUAUCUUUUAUGAAACUGAGCCCAGGAAGCAGGCAAUCGGUUGGCUCCUCCUAACAAGUCCAACUGGCUACAAAGAGCUAGAAAGGCUGCACAGAGCAACCAAGAGGAGCUAUCCCACAUAUUAAUCUGCUUAUCUCGGAUUGCUCUGGGGGAAGAGGGAGGGAAACCCGAAACAAGGCAGGGGGAGGGGAAGGGAAAACCAUAGCUUUGCUGCCCAAACAGCAGAAUAAUUUCAGCAA